RNAcentral lists this transfer RNA (75 nucleotides) under Aeromonas hydrophila. Its description in RNAcentral is "tRNA-Ser". The record is from RNAcentral. Lineage: Bacteria; Pseudomonadati; Pseudomonadota; Gammaproteobacteria; Aeromonadales; Aeromonadaceae.
GGCAUCAUAGUGGGGCCCGGCUCAGCAGCGUUUGAGGUGAUGCGGGAUCUGGUGUUCAACCUGCCGAUGAUGGUG